AAGAAGUAACGCUUCCUGCUAGUUCCAGCGCAGUCCAGCAUGAUUAGAAGGGUACUGGACUGGGCUACAACUAGAAGGAAGUGUUGCUGCUU
Molecule: non-coding RNA, 92 nt
Filed under: Chrysemys picta bellii (western painted turtle)
Lineage: Eukaryota; Metazoa; Chordata; Testudines; Emydidae
Also listed under: 1 other name
Source: RNAcentral